Molecule: long non-coding RNA, 3985 nt
Organism: Protopterus annectens (West African lungfish)
Lineage: Eukaryota; Metazoa; Chordata; Ceratodontiformes; Protopteridae
Exons: 2
Source: RefSeq, a predicted model, not a curated record
UUGUUUGCCUUCCCGAAUUACACAUUGUUGGUGUUUCGGGACUCGCAGUAUCGCGUCUCGAACUGCUGUCUAAUAGAUGCUUACAGUACGCUCAGAAUUCCUUAAAUUCUUUUGGAACCAGAUGUCUGCGAACCUUAAUAGUAGUGUCUGGCCCUGUAGUAAGACAUCCCGACAAGCUAAACCCUCUCCAUGAGGCACUGCUGCAGCUGUGGGAGUUAUCCUAGAUGCCUAGUGUGGGGCCGAAACCCCACAACCUUUCUGCUGGGAGAUAUCCCAAGUACCUUGUGUGGGGCCAAGACCCACAACCGUUGUGCAACGGCUUCUGAUAUAGGGACAUAAACCAGUUCACUGACGUUAAACAGGAGAUAAGUAUUUUUUCUUUCUUUCAACAAUUAAUAAUUAUUAUAAAAUAAAGCAGUAGAGAUUAAAAAAAAAACAUACGCAAUUAGCUUAAACUGAUUCACAACACAUUGUUAAACGGCGGUGAUCUUAAAACAGUACAUUUUGAUAAUGCAUGCGUUCAUUUAUGUUGGAUUCAAACAGCUCUGCAUUAUUGUGAUAGCUAGAUUAUGCACCACUAGGUAAACAACAUCAAUAGGUAAAUAUGUUACUCACAAAAAUCUAUUUUCCCCCAUCUGGCUUGCUCUUACUAUUCAUUACUGCCUAAACAGGUUUAUUUCCACAACAGAACGGUAUAAAACAAGAAUGAUCGUUAAACCUUAUAAUCUGGUUGAAUUUUUACAACUAAUUCAAUGGAAGAUUUCUUCUCAUUGCCUACUUAACGUUUGUUAAUGAGAGAAUAAGUAGCAACUAUGUGCCUGAUGGGUGAGAACAUUUGCUCAAGGAUGGCGGUGGCUGAGCACUACAAGAAUAUGCGACAAUCAAUGAUGCUGAUAUACCUGCGAUUUCAGAAUGAUGACCUAUACUGAUGCUGCACUGUUUUAAUUGUACUUCUAUUGUAAAAUCCACGCUGACUUUUCCCACGCAAUCUUUAUUUGCCAGUCUGGACACAUUUGAGUGCUUUAUGUGAUUGAUCAAGACAUGAAUGAUUGUGAAACUAUUUAUCAUUCACUACUGACUCAGAACUACAGUAGUUGAAAACAGCAUUUUUGCAAGAUGACACCGCCCAUAUAGGGGGCUUUGCCACCCACAGCCCCUUCCUCAUAUAUAUAUCGACUCUAUAGUCAGCAAUAUUGGGAAAAGGAGACCAUCUCCAAACAGUGCACCAUAGUCUCACAUAAGCAGCGAUACCUAAUAACAUAUAUUGCAAUGACAAAUGUUUGAUGGAUUCGGAACAUUAGUAAACGUAAUUGUGAAACUGGAACCCAAUCAAAUUGUUUUCAAUCAGGAGUAGUGAAUUCACUUCUGCUUAAUACUAUUGAAAACCCAUUUUUACUUAAAAAAAAACAUUCACAUUAUAAAGAUUAAACAAAUUAGCAGCAUCCUAUUCAGUAUAUAAAUGUGGGUAGAGUCUACAAUGCCAAGAUUACAUUUGCAGUGCUAUAUACUGACUAGGAUACUGCUGAUUUGUUUCUAUCUGAACAUAUCAACAUUUUCUAGUAAUACAAUGCAUGCUUCUAGGUGAUGUCUAAACUGAUUUUGCUUUGGAACAAAGAACAAAGCACCAGGAUGUUGUUUAACAAAGACAGUGAGCUAGAACAGAAUGGAAGACCUAACGGUUUUAAUUUCAAGUUCUGCCUUCCAGUAAAAUGGCACUCUUGCCUGUAUCUCUGAAAGCCAAUCAACCUUCUGGUUAAGGACUGUCACGCUGGAAAAAGUGAUACCCUAAAUAUGAUUUGGUUUAGAGGAAUCCUGAUGCAAAUAACAGUUAAGUACAGAUUACAGAAAGACAGAAGUCAGAAGAAUAACUAAACAAUGAUACCCACUGGCCCCAUGACAGCAAAAAAGCAUGAGUUCUCAAGCAUUUUUAUAUGCACAUGAAAGGUUUUAGCCAAUAAUGUGCAAUAUGUCAAUGUGUUUAAUAAUAUUAUCGUAAAUAUAAAAUAGAAGAAAAGUACUAUUAUUUUUAGCACAGUACAUUCUGUGUGGAUAGUGACAAACUGUUUUUUUUUCUUUUUUGAACCAUAAUGAUUCACAUAAAAUCCCUCAAUAAUUUGCAGGUUAUUCAGUUAUGGAAAUAUAGCAAUAUGCACUACAAAGAAAAGCAGUCGCUGAUAUCUUCAUUGGAUGCACCCAGACAAUCUCAUGCUCAUUUUGUUUCUCGCACCCUGCCUUUUGCAUACUACUUCUUAGCAUUUUAUCACUUGUUGAGAAGACCAUCUCCAAAGAGCAUCAAGAUACUGCGUGGUGGUGUGGUCAGCUAAUGGAAGUACGUAUACUAAAUGGUGUGUACUGGUGCUGAUCAGCUCACUUUUUAAGAAAUGAAUUACUUUUAAUAAAUGGUCAACUUGGAAGUAAAGUCUUUCAAAUAGCAAAACACAAGUCAAGUUUGAUGAACCAAAGACGAGAGAUGACUUACAAUUUGAGUUUGUGAUUUGAGCUCCAAAUAUGUACAUGUAUUUGAAAAGGUGAAGCACGAAGAGUGAAAUUAUUUCAUACCUGUUCUGUUCACAAGUAGGGUCCAAACCAAAUUUGACAAAAGCAGUAAUCUAAUACAUUAAAAAGCACACAAAUAAAUACACUUGAUCGUAGUUUAGUUCGAUGGCAAAACCACUACUGUCUUUUAUAUAAAAUGAGAAUUGUAUUGGGAUGACAGUUCAGACUUUGAGAAUGGCAUAACUGAAACCUCAGCCAUAAUGUUAACAUCUGCUUGAUAGAAAUGUUCAGUGAUUUAGUACUUAAGUACAAAAGAGCAGCACAGACUUCAGGAUGCUGUUUCUUAAAAAAAUAACAACUCGGAAACAAAUGCAAGUAUUUAUCAACUAUGUAUGGGAGCCAGGAGCUUGUAGUUUUUGGCUUGUUUGUUUGUUUGAUUAAGAGAAAUGCAAGCACACUGUUUCAGAAAUAUCACUGUCCAAUUUGAAGUUGCCAAGGAAAAGAGAAAGGCAAAUGAUAGAUUUUUAUGAGAAAACAUUUUCUCUGUGCAAUGGUAGCCUUGGAGGCAAGUAAUAAGUAAUAGGUAUGUGGGGUAGUGUUACCAUCAUGUGAGGGGUAGGGAUUUCCCAUUCAAAAAACAGGAGUUUUAGACAAAUAUUCAUUGACAGUCUUGGUCACCAUUUUGUGCAUUUACUGCAAAAUGUUUGCAUUUAGGUAGGAGGCUUACAAAGUAACUAUUGCCACUGCAUGGUGGUACACUUUCAAAAAUAAAUACAUAUGCCAAUAUUUCAGAAAUAAAUUAGAGUAAAAGUGAAACAACGUUUUGUUGUGGAGAAUCAUAUUACAGGAUCAAAGAUAGUUAUGAGGCAUGUUGACCAGAAGAGCAUUGAGUAACGUAGCUCAUUCUCCAAAACACUGUCUUGUCAAGCGAGGAAUUCAGAGUCGCAUAUAGAUAAAAGGAACUGCGGACUACAAUAAGCAGCUCAUUAGCAGCUCAUAUCCUUACUCCUCUGCACUAACUGCAUUGUCCUGGGAAAAUUCCUGUGGCUGUCAAUAUGAUUCCAGCGAAAUCUGUGUUAGACUAGUUAGUAUAAAAAUUGUUAUGACCACCCCAAAAAUUCAAUUUAAUGUAGUUUAGCAUUUAUUUCUGAUGAAGCCUAUUAGUAUUGUUGGACAAAAGUGCUACAUGCAGCCAUUGGUGAAAGGCAUUCUUAAACCAUCCCAGCUACCUGAAACCAUCAUCCUACAGAAAUCAGAGCUGGAAAAAAGCACUGAUAGGUUUACUAGAAAGGUGAAAUAUCUUCUGCAAGAAGGUACCUGCACUGCAAGAAAGUACCUGCACGUGCUUUCAAGAUAAAGUAUAAGUAAUUUGUCACUUGAACUCUCAUGUAAAUUUUAUUGCAACAUUAUUACUGUAAUGAACAUUAUCUCAUAUUAGAUAUAAAUACUGUAAAUAUGACUUGCUCAUUUAAAGUUUUGUAAGUUAUUA